Molecule: small RNA, 132 nt
Filed under: Salmonella enterica subsp. enterica serovar Hadar
Lineage: Bacteria; Pseudomonadati; Pseudomonadota; Gammaproteobacteria; Enterobacterales; Enterobacteriaceae
Description: RtT sRNA
Rfam family: RtT RNA
About the family: This family represents a bacterial cis-regulatory element known as RtT RNA.
Source: RNAcentral
GUCUGCACUUGUCGGGGAAGGGUGAGAACCUUCGACUAAGGUUCGAUUCGAGCGAAAGCGAGAGAACGUUGCCAACGGCAACGGCCCGUGGGGUGAGGAGCGAAGCGACGAAUAAUCCUUCCCCCACCACCA